CUUGCAUUAUAGAGGAAACACACCAAUCCAUCCCGAACUUGGUGGUUAAACUUUACUGCGGUGAUGAUACUGUAAGGGAGGUCCUGCGGAAAAAUAGCUCGAUGCCAGGAUG
This 112-nucleotide ribosomal RNA is filed under the name Tetracentron sinense. Lineage: Eukaryota; Viridiplantae; Streptophyta; Magnoliopsida; Trochodendrales; Trochodendraceae. The record is from RNAcentral.